RNAcentral lists this ribosomal RNA (253 nucleotides) under uncultured bacterium. RNAcentral's name for it is "partial 16S ribosomal RNA". It matches the Rfam family "Bacterial small subunit ribosomal RNA", at positions 524 to 776 of the family's 1533-position model. The record is from RNAcentral.
AACGUAGGAGACGACCGUUAUCCGGAGUUACUGGGCGUAAAGGGCGUGUAGGCGGUUUGUUAAGUCUGGCGUGAAAGCUCUCGGCUAAACCGGGAGAGGUCGUUGGAUACUGGCGAACUAGAGGAUGGUAGAGGCGUGUGGAAUUCCGGGUGUAGUGGUGAAAUGCGUAGAGAUCCGGAGGAACCCCAGUGGCGAAGGCGCCACGCUGGGCCAUACCUGACGCUAAAGCGCGACAGCAUGGGGAGCAAACGGG